Molecule: ribosomal RNA, 253 nt
Filed under: uncultured bacterium
Lineage: Bacteria
Description: partial 16S ribosomal RNA
Rfam family: Bacterial small subunit ribosomal RNA
Source: RNAcentral
UACAGAGGUCUCAAGCGUUGUUCGGAUUCAUUGGGCGUAAAGGGUGCGUAGGCGGCGCGGUAAGUCGGGUGUGAAAUCUCGGGGCUUAACUCCGAAACUGCAUUCGAUACUGCCGUGCUUGAGGACUGGAGAGGAGACUGGAAUUUACGGUGUAGCGGUGAAAUGCGUAGAUAUCAGGAGGAACACCGGUGGCGAAGGCGGGUCUCUGGGCCGAUACUGACGCUGAGGAGCGAAAGCGUGGGGAGCGAACAGG